ACUCAGAGACAGCGAGGGAGAGCGCAGUGACUGCAGCUGAAGCUCAGAGACAGCGAGGUAGAGCGCAGUGACUGCAGCUGAAACUCAGAGACAGCGAGGGAGAGCGCAGUGACUGCAGCUGAAGCUCAGAGACAGCGAGGGAGAGCGCAGUGACUGCAGCUGAAGCUCAGAGACAGCGAGGGAGAGCGCAGUGACUGCAGCUGAAGCUCAGAGACAGCGAGGUAGAGCGCAGUGACUGCAGCUGAAGCUCAGAGACAGCGAGGUAGAGCGCAGUGACUGCAGCCCAAGCUCAGAGACAGCGAGGUAGAGCGCAGUGACUGCAGCUGAAGCUCAGAGACAGCGAGGUAGAGCGCAGUGACUGCAGCUGAAACUCAGAGACAGUGAGGUAGAGCGCAGUGACUGCAGCUGAAGCUCAGAGACAGUGAGGUGUAGAGCGCAGUGACUGCAGCCCAAACUCAGAGACAGCGAGGGAGAGCGCAGUGACUGCAGCUGAAGCUCAGAGACAGCGAGGGAGAGCGCAGUGACUUCAGCUGAAGCUCAGAGACAGCGAGGGAGAGUGCAGUGACU
This is a long non-coding RNA of Dicentrarchus labrax (European seabass), 567 nucleotides long. RefSeq lists it as uncharacterized. NCBI's taxonomy places the organism in Eukaryota, Metazoa, Chordata, Actinopteri, Moronidae. The transcript is spliced from 4 exons. The record is from RefSeq and is a predicted model, not a curated record.